Molecule: long non-coding RNA, 740 nt
Filed under: Setaria viridis
Lineage: Eukaryota; Viridiplantae; Streptophyta; Magnoliopsida; Poales; Poaceae
Description: long non-coding RNA (SVIR_LNC002618)
Source: RNAcentral
CGGCGACCCCAAGAAGGGCGGCCGCGGCGGCAAGUUCACCUGGGAGGGCGCCGACGGCUACGCCGACGAGGACCUCGACCUCAUCUCCAACAAGAACAACGGCGGCCGCGCCGGCAAGGGGGGCGCCACCGCCAACGCCGCCAAGAAGGACGACGGCGACGACGAGUAGGCCUCGGCCUCCGCCCGCCCGCCCGGUCCGAUCGGUUGCCAGCAACUCAAGCAAGUUCUCCUAUUGUAAUUCCUCAGUCGCUGUUCGGUUCUCGAGUCGAAUAAUCAUGUGGGUCUAGGCGUCGUGUUCGCGAGUUUGUAGCCUGCUACUAGCGGAGAGCCAGUGGGCGAUCGACGGGCCGUGCAGGGUCUGUAGAUAUCAUCAUCUCACCUCCUCUGUCCUUGACUUGCUGAUGUUUGGGGUCUGAAUUCUCAGUUCUUGGAAGGACUUAUAUUAAUUUCCAGAGUCGUUGGCUGAAUCGUGUUGUCUGCUGCUGUUCUUUGCUCUGAAUCACUUCAGCACCCACUCUGGACUUUACUUUUGCGUUUGUUCAUGAUCGCCAGGUGCAACGUCUUUUACGGUUUCAGUCUUUCAGAUGAGCAGAUCCGUAACUGAAGCAGACAGCAAGGAAGGAAGGGGAAUGAUUGCAAUGUUAACCUUUUUUUAUUUUCGGGUGAGGGAUUGCAAUGUUUAUCUUGAAUUGGAUAACGAUGACUCUGCAAUUUUUCCAAACGAUCUGUUUUCAUGACAA